Molecule: ribosomal RNA, 293 nt
Filed under: uncultured bacterium
Lineage: Bacteria
Description: partial 16S ribosomal RNA
Rfam family: Bacterial small subunit ribosomal RNA
Source: RNAcentral
GGAUUAGAUACCCUGGUAGUCCACGCCGUAAACGAUGAGAACUAGCCGUUGGGGUACUAGAUACCUUAGUGGCGCAGCUAACGCGAUAAGUUCUCCGCCUGGGGAGUACGGCCGCAAGGUUAAAACUCAAAUGAAUUGACGGGGGCCCGCACAAGCGGUGGAGCAUGUGGUUUAAUUCGAUGCAACGCGAAGAACCUUACCUGGUCUUGACAUCGCGCGAACUUUCCAGAGAUGGAUUGGUGCCUUCGGGAACGCGCAGACAGGUGCUGCAUGGCUGUCGUCAGCUCGUGUCG